UACAGUGGGGGCAAGCGUUGUCCGGAAUUAUUGGGCGUAAAGAGCUCGUAGGCGGUUUGUUGCGUCGGCUGUGAAAUCCCGAGGCUCAACCUCGGGUCUGCAGUCGAUACGAGCAAACUAGAGUGUUGCAGGGGAGACUGGAAUUCCUGGUGUAGCGGUGAAAUGCGCAGAUAUCAGGAGGAACACCGGUGGCGAAGGCGGGUCUCUGGGCAACAACUGACGCUGAGGAGCGAAAGCGUGGGGAGCGAACAGG
This 253-nucleotide ribosomal RNA is filed under the name uncultured bacterium. Its description in RNAcentral is "partial 16S ribosomal RNA". It matches the Rfam family "Bacterial small subunit ribosomal RNA", at positions 524 to 776 of the family's 1533-position model. The record is from RNAcentral.